Molecule: ribosomal RNA, 570 nt
Filed under: uncultured bacterium
Lineage: Bacteria
Description: bacterial SSU rRNA
Rfam family: Bacterial small subunit ribosomal RNA
Source: RNAcentral
ACGGGGGCCCGCACAAGCGGUGGAGCAUGUGGUUUAAUUCGAUGCAACGCGAAGAACCUUACCAAGUCUUGACAUCCUGCGAAUUUUCUAGAGAUAGAUUAGUGCCUUCGGGAGCGCGGUGACAGGUGCUGCAUGGCUGUCGUCAGCUCGUGUUGUGAAAUGUUGGGUUAAGUCCCGUAACGAGCGCAACCCUUGUCCUUAGUUGCUAGCAGGUUAAGCUGAGAACUCUAAGGAGACUGCCGGUGACAAACCGGAGGAAGGUGGGGACGACGUCAAGUCAUCAUGGCCCUUACGACUUGGGCUACACACGUGCUACAAUGGCCAGUACAAAGGGUUGCCAAGCCGCGAGGUGGAGCUAAUCUCAUAAAACUGGUCGUAGUCCGGAUUGGUGUCUGCAACUCGACUCCAUGAAGUCGGAAUCGCUAGUAAUCGUGAAUCAGAAUGUCACGGUGAAUACGUUCCCGGGCCUUGUACACACCGCCCGUCACACCAUGGGAGUGGGUUGCUCCAGAAGUGGCUAGUCCAACCUUCGGGGGGACGGUCACCACGGAGUGAUUCAUGACUGGGGUG